UAUACACUUUAUAUUAUAGCAUAGCUUCUUUGUUAUAUUAUAUAGGUUAUGCAAACAAAUAGUUGGUCAAACCCUAACAGCAUGUUACACAGUAAUAAUGACAACUUCCGGAGGACGUCCUCCAACCCAUCAGAGCUCUUGCACUCAAUGAACUGACAUGUCCACCCAAUCAAAGGAUCAGAAAAUGUAUCUAGCACUGCAGUGCAAAACAUGUGUGUCCAAAUUAGCGGAGCGGCUUGACCUAAGGGAGACAUUUUGGGAUGAGUUACAGAGACCCAGUUCUGAAGGAUAUGGUGGAAUGACAGCUGACCACAGAGAAUUACACCUCAACCUCAGAGGAGUGAACAUAUAACAGAAAAGCUCCCUCGGACAGUUUCUGACCUGACCACCGUCAUGUACCUGAAAGACGCAGAGCUUCAAUACUGCCACUCACAAUGGCGUCGUUUCACCCGUUGACUCAACAAGCAUCUCCGUAGAGCGAUGCUGCGACCAGGUGAGCAGACCAACUCCUGGAUGACUGGAGACACACAAACAACAGACACAGAACACACAGCAGUGGCAGGCACUCGCUUGCGUCCCAACUAAUAUCAAGGUCUGCUUUGGCCAGAGGAGGAUGGUGCACAAUGCCCAGGGUGGACCUUGACACAUUUUCCCAAAAGCUUCCUGUACUAAAACACACCUUGAAUGUGGCUCAAAUGUUUAUUUUUUAUUUUUUUACAUUUUAUCUAUUGAAAGAUAUUGAUUUUAAUCAAUGUAGGUAUGGGUAAAGCUAAUUAUAAACCAAACUGUAAUACUGUUGUAAAUUUUAGAUACUGUAUGUGCAGGCUUAUUUAAGUGAGUACCUAAGACCUAACUCAAUGUUUUAAUAUUAACUGUUUUAAAAUACU
Molecule: long non-coding RNA, 887 nt
Filed under: Salmo salar (Atlantic salmon)
Lineage: Eukaryota; Metazoa; Chordata; Actinopteri; Salmoniformes; Salmonidae
Description: lncRNA (ENSSSAG00000053571.2)
Source: RNAcentral